RNAcentral lists this long non-coding RNA (852 nucleotides) under Rattus norvegicus (Norway rat). RNAcentral's name for it is "long non-coding RNA NONRATT030731". Lineage: Eukaryota; Metazoa; Chordata; Mammalia; Rodentia; Muridae. The record is from RNAcentral.
AAGACUAGACUGAGCGUGCGUAAGAGGGAGGCGGAAAUCGGAAGUUCAAGGCUGGCUCUCUCCUUAGUGGGCGAGUUUUCGCAGGGGUGUUGGGUCGGUCACCAGUGUCUGAGGCGCACCGUGUUGGUGUCUGCCUUUCUCUGUUGCGGUCGCGCGACUCUGACUGAGCAGGAAUCGCUCUGACGAGGCCGAGUUGCAGUCUGCAGGGAAAGACAUGCCGUCUGCCAAGCAGCUAGCCGACAUUGGCUACAAGACCUUCUCUGCCUCGAUGAUGCUCCUCACUGUGUACGGGGGCUACCUCUGCAGCGUACGAGCCUACCAUUACCUCCAGCUGCGCAGUGCCAGGCGCCAGGCCGCGGAAGAGCAGAAGACCUCAGGAGUCCUGUAGAGCUCAGCUCUUCCUUUGGCGCAGCCGACGCAUGAGGCAUGAGGCAUGAAACGGGAAAAGACCUCCCGGAAUGCCAUCCGUGGCGAGAACUAGGCCACGAUGCCUUUCAAACCUGCCGUGGUUUCUGUGGUACUGCUGGCUUGUGUCAUUUUGAUGAUUUAUGGAGGCCAUCAAAGUAAAUGGGAACGUGAGGGUGAGGUUCAAUACAGAGAUUAAAUAUUUUGCUUUGUUUGUGUUUAGUGUUUCUAUGUACCCAAAGAGUGUAUGGAUCAUAGAGGUGGGGACCUUGAGUUCUCUAAAGCCUGGUCUCUGUCUUAUUUUGUUUGUUCAAGACAGGGUCUCUUUAUGUGGCCCUAGCUGUCCUGGGACUCUAUAAAAAAGACUAGGCUAGCUUGAACUAAGAGAUUCUCUUUCCUGUACCUCCCACGUGUUGGAAUUAAAGGCCUGCGCCAUCAUGUCUAGCA